UUUAUACUCCCUCCGUCCGGAAAAACUUGUCCCUCAAAUGGAUGUAUCUAGCACCAACUUGGUGCUACAUAUAUCCAUUUGAGGGACUAGCUUUUUCGGACGGAGGGAGUAUAUG
Molecule: non-coding RNA, 115 nt
Organism: Triticum aestivum (bread wheat)
Lineage: Eukaryota; Viridiplantae; Streptophyta; Magnoliopsida; Poales; Poaceae
Source: Rfam